AUUGAACGCUGGCGGCAUGCCUUACACAUGCAAGUCGAACGGCAGCGCGGGGCAACCUGGCGGCGAGUGGCGAACGGGUGAGUAAUAUAUCGGAACGUACCCUGGAGUGGGGGAUAACGUAGCGAAAGUUACGCUAAUACCGCAUACGAUCUAAGGAUGAAAGUGGAGGAUCGCAAGACCUCAUGCUCCUGGAGCGGCCGAUAUCUGAUUAGCUAGUUGGUGGGGUAAAGGCCUACCAAGGCAUCGAUCAGUAGCUGGUCUGAGAGGACGACCAGCCACACUGGAACUGAGACACGGUCCAGACUCCUACGGGAGGCAGCAGUGGGGAAUUUUGGGCCAAUGGGCGCAAGCCUGAUCCAGCAAUGCCGCGUGAGUGAAGAAGGCCUUCGGGUUGUAAAGCUCUUUUGUCAGGGAAGAAACGGUGGGGCUAAUAUCCCCUGCUAAUGACGGUACCUGAAGAAUAAGCACCGGCUAACUACGUGCCAGCAGCCGCGGUAAUACGUAGGGUGCAAGCGUUAAUCGGAGUUACUGGGCGUAAAGUGUGCGCAGGCGGUUUUUGUAAGUCUGUCGUGAAAUCCCCGGGCUCAACCUGGGAAUUGCGAUGGAGACUGCAAGGCUAGAAUCUGGCAGAGGGGGGUAGAA
Molecule: ribosomal RNA, 642 nt
Filed under: uncultured bacterium
Lineage: Bacteria
Description: bacterial SSU rRNA
Rfam family: Bacterial small subunit ribosomal RNA
Source: RNAcentral